GGUGAACGCUGGCGGCGUGCCUAAUACAUGCAAGUCGAGCGAACAGACGAGGAGCUUGCUCCUCUGACGUUAGCGGCGGACGGGUGAGUAACACGUGGAUAACCUACCUAUAAGACUGGGAUAACUUCGGGAAACCGGAGCUAAUACCGGAUAAUAUAUUGAACCGCAUGGUUCAAUAGUGAAAGACGGUUUUGCUGUCACUUAUAGAUGGAUCCGCGCCGCAUUAGCUAGUUGGUAAGGUAACGGCUUACCAAGGCGACGAUGCGUAGCCGACCUGAGAGGGUGAUCGGCCACACUGGAACUGAGACACGGUCCAGACUCCUACGGGAGGCAGCAGUAGGGAAUCUUCCGCAAUGGGCGAAAGCCUGACGGAGCAACGCCGCGUGAGUGAUGAAGGUCUUCGGAUCGUAAAACUCUGUUAUUAGGGAAGAACAAAUGUGUAAGUAACUAUGCACGUCCUGACGGUACCUAAUCAGAAAGCCACGGCUAACUACGUG
RNAcentral lists this ribosomal RNA (497 nucleotides) under uncultured bacterium. RNAcentral's name for it is "partial 16S ribosomal RNA". It matches the Rfam family "Bacterial small subunit ribosomal RNA", at positions 28 to 507 of the family's 1533-position model. The record is from RNAcentral.